This 239-nucleotide ribosomal RNA is filed under the name uncultured bacterium. Its description in RNAcentral is "partial 16S ribosomal RNA". It matches the Rfam family "Bacterial small subunit ribosomal RNA", at positions 92 to 334 of the family's 1533-position model. The record is from RNAcentral.
CGAGUGGCGAACGGGUGAGUAAUGCAUCGGAACGUGCCCAGUAAUGGGGGGUAGCCCGGCGAAAGCCGGAUUAAUACCGCAUACGCCCUGAGGGGGAAAGCGGGGGAUCGCAAGACCUCGCGUUAUUGGAGCGGCCGAUGUCGGAUUAGCUAGUUGGUGGGGUAAAGGCCUACCAAGGCGAAGAUCCGUAGCUGGUCUGAGAGGACGACCAGCCACACUGGGACUGAGACACGGCCCAG